This 450-nucleotide ribosomal RNA is filed under the name uncultured bacterium. Its description in RNAcentral is "partial 16S ribosomal RNA". It matches the Rfam family "Bacterial small subunit ribosomal RNA", at positions 354 to 796 of the family's 1533-position model. The record is from RNAcentral.
GUGGGGAAUCUUCCGCAAUGGACGAAAGUCUGACGGAGCGACGCCGCGUGAGUGAAGAAGGCCUUCGGGUCGUAAAGCUCUGUCAUCAGGGACGAACGGCCGGUGGAGUGGAAAGCCACCGGAUUGACGGUACCUGAGAAGGAAGCCACGGCUAACUACGUGCCAGCAGCCGCGGUAAUACGUAGGUGGCAAGCGUUGUCCGGAAUUAUUGGGCGUAAAGCGCGCGCAGGUGGGAUCUUAAGUCCAUUUUUAAAGUUCGGAGCUCAACUCCGUGAUGGGAUGGAAACUGGGAUUCUUGAGUACCGGAGAGGAAAGCGGAAUUCCCCGUGUAGCGGUGAAAUGCGUAGAUAUGGGGAGGAACACCAGUGGCGAAGGCGGCUUUCUGGACGGUGUCUGACACUGAGGCGCGAAAGCUAGGGGAGCGAACGGGAUUAGAAACCCCGGUAGUCC